Small nuclear RNA from Myxocyprinus asiaticus (Chinese sucker), 104 nucleotides. Lineage: Eukaryota; Metazoa; Chordata; Actinopteri; Cypriniformes; Catostomidae. The record is from RefSeq and is a predicted model, not a curated record.
UUGCUUUGGUAGCACAUGUACUAAACUUGUAAUGAUAAAGAGAAAAUUAGCAUGGCCCCUGGUACAAGGAUGACAUGCACAUUUGUGAAGCAUUUUACAUUUGU